GAGUGAUAUGAGUUUCCAUCACAGAAAAUUGAAUCCCCCAUCAGUGAAAACAGGUACAAAUAUUGAGUUGACGUAUUAUUUUUAAUGUCUGCACUCUAAUUUGAUUUCUUUGUGACAUGUACAGAGGUCUCCAGUGAACUCAGAGUACAGUGGGUGUGAAGAUGGAGGCAGAAGCAGAGCAAAAAUGCCUUUGGAUGGUGACAGUGGGACAAAAAUAGCUCAGGAGAAUUGGCAGUGGACUUUCGCUGCCAGUCAGUGACCAGUUUCCUUCAAAAUCUCAGUGGAGAGAAUCAUUUCUAAAAGGCUGGUGUGCACAGUCAGCCCAGCAGUAUUUCCAUCUGUAAGACCUUUGAUACCUUCAACAGGAGACGCUGCUUUAUUCCAAUCUGACAUUGUUUACUGAAGAUGAAGAGGAAUGUGCACACGACAUAAAUUAAUGAGAUGCUUGAGAAUACAAUGCACAGCAGCAUUCUGAAUUUCAGCAGGUCUGAUAAAGAAACACAGAUGAGACUCUGCGUGCUCGGUACACAAACAGAUUUACUGUCCCAGAAACACUUUUUAAACCAAUUUUUCUUUUUUUUUUUUUUUGGGGGGGGCAAGUUCACUGUGGCUGUGGCGCUGACAGUAGCGAGUCAGCAUUAACUGCAAAUAAAACCCAAGGAGCUGUAUUAAUUUGAUGAACGAGGCUGACUGCAGAGAUCGUAGAGGGCACCUUCUGGAAGAAUAUUAAAUAGUUGUACAUAUAAAAACGGGAAAAGACUCAACUUUGCAACCUAAAUAAAAACAGUGCCGCCUGAAUAAAGAGGCUAUAAAGUUGUACGUUAAGAGCCGUGCCAGCCGAGCAGUGACAUUUUUAGAUUCUUUACAUAAUUAUAAGUAUUUAUACUGCACUAUAAAACCCUCCAUUUCAGGUAAAAAGUACUAGCAAUGUGCACAAUUAAGCAGCACUAUCUAUUAAUCUCUGAUAUCCUGGUAUUUUAGUCCCGGUCUCAUGUUUUGUUUUAGUGUUGUUUGAUGUGAAGCACUUUGUGAUUCAUCUUGAAUCUGCUCUUUAAAUACAUUUAAAAACUCAGUUGAAGAUAUUAUUAUUUUAUCUCAACUGAUUAUUUCUUAUCGCUUUUUAACAAAACAAUGAAAUUAAAGAAAUUGCAUUUUCCCAUUUUA
Astatotilapia calliptera (eastern happy) is the source of this 1164-nucleotide long non-coding RNA. NCBI's taxonomy places the organism in Eukaryota, Metazoa, Chordata, Actinopteri, Cichliformes, Cichlidae. The record is from Ensembl.